GGUCAAGUGAAGAAGCGCAUACGGUGGAUGCCUUGGCAGUCAGAGGCGAUGAAAGACGUGGUAGCCUGCGAAAAGCUUCGGGGAGUCGGCAAACAGACUUUGAUCCGGAGAUCUCUGAAUGGGGGAACCCACCUAGGAUAACCUAGGUAUCUUGUACUGAAUCCAUAGGUGCAAGAGGCGAACCAGGGGAACUGAAACAUCUAAGUACCCUGAGGAAAAGAAAUCAACCGAGAUUCCCUUAGUAGUGGCGAGCGAACGGGGAUUAGCCCUUAAGCUUCAUUGAUUUUAGCGGAACGCUCUGGAAAGUGCGGCCAUAGUGGGUGAUAGCCCCGUACGCGAAAGGAUCUUUGAAGUGAAAUCGAGUAGGACGGAGCACGAGAAACUUUGUCUGAACAUGGGGGGACCAUCCUCCAAGGCUAAAUACUACUGACUGACCGAUAGUGAACCAGUACCGUGAGGGAAAGGCGAAAAGAACCCCGGAGAGGGGAGUGAAAUAGAACCUGAAACCGUAUGCGUACAAGCAGUGGGAGCCUACUUGUUAGGUGACUGCGUACCUUUUGUAUAAUGGGUCAGCGACUUAUAUUCAGUGGCAAGCUUAACCGUAUAGGGUAGGCGUAGCGAAAGCGAGUCUUAAUAGGGCGUUUAGUCGCUGGGUAUAGACCCGAAACCGGGCGAUCUAUCCAUGAGCAGGUUGAAGGUUAGGUAACACUGACUGGAGGACCGAACCCACUCCCGUUGAAAAGGUAGGGGAUGACUUGUGGAUCGGAGUGAAAGGCUAAUCAAGCUCGGAGAUAGCUGGUUCUCCUCGAAAGCUAUUUAGGUAGCGCCUCAUGUAUCACUCUGGGGGGUAGAGCACUGUUUCGGCUAGGGGGUCAUCCCGACUUACCAAACCGAUGCAAACUCCGAAUACCCAGAAGUGCCGAGCAUGGGAGACACACGGCGGGUGCUAACGUCCGUCGUGAAAAGGGAAACAACCCAGACCGCCAGCUAAGGUCCCAAAGUUGUGGUUAAGUGGUAAACGAUGUGGGAAGGCUUAGACAGCUAGGAGGUUGGCUUAGAAGCAGCCAUCCUUUAAAGAAAGCGUAAUAGCUCACUAGUCGAGUCGGCCUGCGCGGAAGAUGUAACGGGGCUCAAACCACACACCGAAGCUGCGGGUGUCACGUAAGUGACGCGGUAGAGGAGCGUUCUGUAAGCCUGUGAAGGUGAGUUGAGAAGCUUGCUGGAGGUAUCAGAAGUGCGAAUGCUGACAUGAGUAACGACAAUGGGUGUGAAAAACACCCACGCCGAAAGACCAAGGGUUCCUGCGCAACGUUAAUCGACGCAGGGUUAGUCGGUUCCUAAGGCGAGGCUGAAAAGCGUAGUCGAUGGGAAACAGGUUAAUAUUCCUGUACUUCUGGUUACUGCGAUGGAGGGACGGAGAAGGCUAGGCCAGCUUGGCGUUGGUUGUCCAAGUUUAAGGUGGUAGGCUGAAAUCUUAGGUAAAUCCGGGGUUUCAAGGCCGAGAGCUGAUGACGAGUCGUCUUUUAGAUGACGAAGUGGUUGAUGCCAUGCUUCCAAGAAAAGCUUCUAAGCUUCAGGUAACCAGGAACCGUACCCCAAACCGACACAGGUGGUCGGGUAGAGAAUACCAAGGCGCUUGAGAGAACUCGGGUGAAGGAACUAGGCAAAAUGGCACCGUAACUUCGGGAGAAGGUGCGCCGGCUAGGGUGAAGGAUUUACUCCGUAAGCUCUGGCUGGUCGAAGAUACCAGGCCGCUGCGACUGUUUAUUAAAAACACAGCACUCUGCAAACACGAAAGUGGACGUAUAGGGUGUGACGCCUGCCCGGUGCCGGAAGGUUAAUUGAUGGGGUUAGCGCAAGCGAAGCUCUUGAUCGAAGCCCCGGUAAACGGCGGCCGUAACUAUAACGGUCCUAAGGUAGCGAAAUUCCUUGUCGGGUAAGUUCCGACCUGCACGAAUGGCGUAACGAUGGCGGCGCUGUCUCCACCCGAGACUCAGUGAAAUUGAAAUCGCUGUGAAGAUGCAGUGUAUCCGCGGCUAGACGGAAAGACCCCGUGAACCUUUACUGUAGCUUUGCACUGGACUUUGAGCCUGCUUGUGUAGGAUAGGUGGGAGGCUUUGAAGCGUGAACGCCAGUUCGCGUGGAGCCAUCCUUGAAAUACCACCCUGGCAUGCUUGAGGUUCUAACUCUGGUCCGUGAUCCGGAUCGAGGACAGUGUAUGGUGGGCAGUUUGACUGGGGCGGUCUCCUCCUAAAGAGUAACGGAGGAGUACGAAGGUGCGCUCAGACCGGUCGGAAAUCGGUCGUAGAGUAUAAAGGCAAAAGCGCGCUUGACUGCGAGACAGACACGUCGAGCAGGUACGAAAGUAGGUCUUAGUGAUCCGGUGGUUCUGUAUGGAAGGGCCAUCGCUCAACGGAUAAAAGGUACUCCGGGGAUAACAGGCUGAUACCGCCCAAGAGUUCAUAUCGACGGCGGUGUUUGGCACCUCGAUGUCGGCUCAUCACAUCCUGGGGCUGAAGCCGGUCCCAAGGGUAUGGCUGUUCGCCAUUUAAAGUGGUACGCGAGCUGGGUUUAGAACGUCGUGAGACAGUUCGGUCCCUAUCUGCCGUGGACGUUUGAGAUUUGAGAGGGGCUGCUCCUAGUACGAGAGGACCGGAGUGGACGAACCUCUGGUGUUCCGGUUGUCACGCCAGUGGCAUUGCCGGGUAGCUAUGUUCGGAAAAGAUAACCGCUGAAAGCAUCUAAGCGGGAAACUUGCCUCAAGAUGAGAUCUCACUGGGAACUUGAUUCCCCUGAAGGGCCGUCGAAGACUACGACGUUGAUAGGCUGGGUGUGUAAGCGUUGUGAGGCGUUGAGCUAACCAGUACUAAUUGCCCGUGAGGCUUGACCAU
RNAcentral lists this ribosomal RNA (2891 nucleotides) under Pseudomonas aeruginosa. RNAcentral describes it as "23S ribosomal RNA". It matches the Rfam family "Bacterial large subunit ribosomal RNA". The record is from RNAcentral. Lineage: Bacteria; Pseudomonadati; Pseudomonadota; Gammaproteobacteria; Pseudomonadales; Pseudomonadaceae.